RNAcentral lists this ribosomal RNA (305 nucleotides) under uncultured bacterium. Its description in RNAcentral is "bacterial SSU rRNA". It matches the Rfam family "Bacterial small subunit ribosomal RNA", at positions 338 to 660 of the family's 1533-position model. The record is from RNAcentral.
CCUACGGGGGGCAGCAGUGGGGAAUAUUGCACAAUGGAGGGAACUCUGAUGCAGCGACGCCGCGUGAGUGAAGAAGUAAUUCGUUAUGUAAAGCUCUAUCAGCAGGGAAGAAAGUGACGGUACCUGAAAAAGAAGCUCCGGCUAAAUACGUGCCAGCAGCCGCGGUAAUACGUAUGGAGCAAGCGUUAUCCGGAUUUACUGGGUGUAAAGGGAGAGUAGGUGGCAGAGCAAGUCCGAAGUGAAAACCCAAAGCUCAACUAUGGGAAUGCUUUAGAAACUGCUCAGCUAGAGUGCAGGAGAGGCAA